This 446-nucleotide ribosomal RNA is filed under the name uncultured eukaryote. RNAcentral describes it as "SSU rRNA". It matches the Rfam family "Eukaryotic small subunit ribosomal RNA", at positions 567 to 990 of the family's 1831-position model. The record is from RNAcentral.
CCAGCAGCUGCGGUAAUUCCAGCUCCAAUAGCGUAUACUAAAGUUGCUGCAGUUAAAAAGCUCGUAGUCGAAUUGGAUCAUGGAGAGAUAACCGUACACUAAGGCUAUCUUGGCUGAAGUGUGCAGUCUUUCUAUGGUCAACCGAUCAUAAAGGGUCACGGGGAUCAUAUUCCCGUUUUUUUGACUCCUUUUUGAUUCAUUUUACUGUGAACAAAAUAGAGUGUUCAUGGCAGGCCAUUUCAACUAGGCUUAGAUACCAUAGCAUGGAAUAAUAGAAUAGGACUUCCGGUUCUGUUUUGUUGGUUUUUGGAGCCGAGGUAAUGAUUAACAGGGAUAGUUGGGGGCAUUCGUACUCCGUUGUCAGAGGUGAAAUUCUUGGAUUAACGGAAGACGAACAACUGCGAAAGCAUCUGCCAAGGAUGUUUUCAUUGAUCAAGAACGAAAGU